RNAcentral lists this long non-coding RNA (3090 nucleotides) under Equus asinus (donkey). RNAcentral's name for it is "lncRNA (ENSEASG00005031705.1)". Lineage: Eukaryota; Metazoa; Chordata; Mammalia; Perissodactyla; Equidae. The record is from RNAcentral.
UUUUAAUCAGUGUUGAGAUUCAACGAGCUAACGUAUGCACAGCACCCUCCAUGUGAGUUCAAUGUUAAAAAAGGAAAUGGUUCAAUGAUACAAAUGUUGAAUGGUGAGCAUAUUUUUGCUGAAAAUUUUGCGGCUCCUGAAAAAGCACCCCUCGCUAGUUAAAGGAAUUCUGAAGGAAGAGCCAUAAGAGCUCAGGGACUCUGGAAAUAUUUGUUGAAUGAAGGAGGUAACAAGAGGAAGCACAAUGAUACGGCGAAAGAGCACAGGAUAUUUAUUCAAGUGAUCUGAGUGCCUGCUCUGCCAUGCACAACCCAUGUGACACUGGGCAAGUCUGUUUUCUCCACUCUAACCUGAGACUGAUAGCCCUGUCUGUCUCCCACAGUCACUGUGGGGAACAGGUGAGAUCUGUGAAGGAGUUCUUUCUAAACUGUGAGGUCUGAUUGAAUAUGCUUUAUAGUAAUGGGAGUAAAAACCUGGAAACAACUCAGAUAUUCCUCCAGGGGCGAACGCUUACAUGACUGCAGUGCAUCCACACGUGGGGUACCACCCAGCCAGGACAGGGAACGGACUGUCGAUACUCAGCCACUUGCAUGAAUCUCAAGGGAAUUGUGCUGAGUAAGAGCAGCCAAUCCCUGAAGCUCAGUGCCUUGUGAUUGCAUUGAUUUAACACUAUUGAAAUGACAAAGCAGAAAGCGGAUUAGAGGUCUCCAGGAGUUAAUGGGUGAGUGGGGGCGACACAAGGACAACCUGGGGGAUCCCUGGGGUGGCUGAAAUGUCCUGUAUCUUGGCUGCUCAGUGUCCACAUUCUGGUUGUGAUUUGGACUAUAGUUUCUCAAGAUGACAUCUGGGGAAACUGAGUAAGGUCUCUGUAAUAUUGCUUACAACUACACAUGAAUCUGCAAUCAUCUCAAAAUUAAAACUUUAAUUUAAAAAAAAUUGUUGCUAUUUAUUUGGGUCUGAAGCUCAUAAAAUAGCAACUUAUGUUUACUGAUGGCUCAGAUCACUCUAGUUUAUCUGUUUAGCUCGUUUACUCUUGUGUGGUACCAAUUGGCCUAUUUUACAGAUGAUAAAACUGAGCACUGGAAAUAUUAAGACCACAAAAAUGGUGUGUUGCAUUGCUGGGGUUUGGAGCCCCACGGUCCGCUCAGGUAAGGACAGUAUGGCAUGGUCAGGAUUUGAACUGGGCGGGGCUUACUCCUCAAACCACCUUUAGGUGUAGUUAAUUAGGUGCGGAGAUCACCAGCAAUGAGAAGACUAAUUAAAGGUCACUGUUCAGAAUUCUUUUGGGGAUGAUGAAACGUUCUGGAAUUAGACAGUGGUUAUGGUUGUACAUAUCUGAGGAUAUAUUAAAAACCCCACAGAAUUGUACACUACAAAAGAGUGAAUUUCAUGGUAUGCGAAUUAUAUCUCAAUUUUAACACCCCCUCCCCCCCAAAAAAAGUUCUCGCGGUCUGGAAGUAAGAGAUGGACCUGUGACGGUAGUGGCAGUGGUAAGGAAAUCUCUAAGGCAGAAUUAACUUACUAAAUAAAAGUGGAGACUAUGGCAAAGACAUCGAAGAUUCCUGAGGUUCUGAGCCUGGUGACAAGAAGAGAGGGGAAGGAGGCCCAGGAGGCGGUAUAGAUGUGUGGAGCGUGAGAUGACAGCAGGCUCUCCCGGGACCUCUAGGAGGUGACUUGCGGGCCCGGCGUCUGGAGGAGAAGUCACAGAGGUUUGGGAUUCAGAAGUAGACGAGGUGUCUCCAGGAGACAGGAUCAAGGCAGGAGAUGAGUUAUUAGGAGGAGGCAGGGUGGGAGGAAUUAAUCUCUACCAGAAAAAUAAGAAAUCAGCAUGUGAAAUCUGCCAUCUCUGACAACACACUGAAGUCACAGCUUUUUUCUCUCCUUCAAAGGCGAAACCAGAUCCAGUGAGAGAUGAACGUGACUGAGAAGAGCAGGAGCCUAGCAGCCUAGGAAUGGCCUGUCCUGACACUCUUUUGGAGAGCGUGGGCACAAGAAGUCAGCUGUUCCCCACAAAAGAGAAGAACCAGCCUGGGUGACCGAGGAUAUGGCACAAACCUGCCCACCAGGAAAUUCCAAGUUGCCGUUAGUUGGCCCUGCCUUCCAACAGGAGCAUGAGCAGAAAGGCCUUCUUGUACCUGAUCCACACAUCAGACUUCCAGCAUCAUACCCAUCUCCCCGUCUGACUGCCCAGACUCUGUGUACCACCUAAGACAAAUUCAAAAUCUGUCCUUGAAUUUGUCCCCAGUGAUAGCCCCAUGCCUAAACUUUGUUUUGUAUACUCCCUCUUUCUUACUCUUCUCUAAAUGUUCCAAAUGUAUAUAUCUUUUCGACUAAUUCGCACAUUUCUUAAAGGCAAGUAAUUCUUACCGUUUUCUAAAACCCUGCAGUGGUUAUCACAGAGCUGGCCACAUGGUAGAAACAAUACUCAACACACUUAUUUAUUGAUAGAUCCCAUAGCAAUCUUUUGGUAUAAUAUCUAUAAUUCAUAUUAAAACAGUUUAGCAUAAACUCUAUGAUAUUAUGCAAUUUCUGGUUAGUUCAAGCUUUAACUCUAGAAAUGUCAGUUGCCAUUUUUGAGAAUCCACAUUCCAGAAAUAUUUGAUUGAUAUCCAAGCGUUGAUAGCCUGUGGUUCCGACACCCAAAUCUUGAGCAAUACCCAAGGCUUUAUUAACAAGUAUAGUGAAUGUCUGAAAAGGGUAUUGAUUAGUAAAAUUUGUUGCUAAUAAAUUAACAUAAUGAAUAUUAGCAUGGGCCUCAAUGAUAAAAAAUAAAGGUGUUCAAGAAGUAUGAGUUGGCCUAAACAUUUUGAAGACACGCCCAACCCUGAACAGAGUCUAUAAACCUGGAGGUAUCCGUGGCCUGGACUCUGCAGGAUGGUGCUCAAGCUUGAUGCAUGAACAGCCCCGUGUCCAGCCACGGCUGUAGGAGCAUCCCGUGCCCGAGGCUGACCUGCAUCAGUACCAGGGCCUGCGUCAGAGCGUUGUGUGUGUGCCUUGGGACCCUUUCACACAAGGUGGGGGCAGAACAUCUAAAAUUUAGGGAGCUGGGACAUCUGCAAACUUACAAAACAGAUCAGAUGUGCUAUUUUG